AGUUGGGCACUCUAAGUUGACUGCCGGUGACAAACCGGAGGAAGGUGGGGAUGACGUCAAAUCAUCAUGCCCCUUAUGAUUUGGGCUACACACGUGCUACAAUGGACAAUACAAAGGGCAGCGAAACCGCGAGGUCAAGCAAAUCCCAUAAAGUUGUUCUCAGUUCGGAUUGUAGUCUGCAACUCGACUACAUGAAGCUGGAAUCGCUAGUAAUCGUAGAUCAGCAUGCUACGGUGAAUACGUUCCCGGGUCUUGUACACACCGCCCGUCACACCACGAGAGUUUGUAACACCCGAAGCCGGUGGAGUAACCUUUUAGGAGCUAGCCGUCGAAGGUGGGACAAAUGAUUGGGGUGAAGUCGUAACAAGGUAGCCGUAUCGGAAGGUGCGGCUGGAUCACCUCCUUU
This 406-nucleotide ribosomal RNA is filed under the name Staphylococcus aureus. RNAcentral describes it as "bacterial SSU rRNA". It matches the Rfam family "Bacterial small subunit ribosomal RNA", at positions 1129 to 1533 of the family's 1533-position model. Lineage: Bacteria; Bacillati; Bacillota; Bacilli; Caryophanales; Staphylococcaceae. The record is from RNAcentral.